RNAcentral lists this ribosomal RNA (253 nucleotides) under uncultured bacterium. Its description in RNAcentral is "partial 16S ribosomal RNA". It matches the Rfam family "Bacterial small subunit ribosomal RNA", at positions 524 to 776 of the family's 1533-position model. The record is from RNAcentral.
UACGUAGGGGGCAAGCGUUGUCCGGAUUUAUUGGGCGUAAAGAGCUCGUAGGCGGUUCCGUAAGUCGGGUGUGAAAAAUCUGGGCUCAACCCAGUGGAGCACCCGAUACUGCGGUGACUGGAGUCCGGUAGGGGAGUGUGGAAUUCCUGGUGUAGCGGUGAAAUGCGCAGAUAUCAGGAGGAACACCGGUGGCGAAGGCGGGUCUCUGGGCCGAUACUGACGCUGAGGAGCGAAAGCGUGGGGAGCGAACAGG